CGGGGCAACCACAGGAAACUCUGAAAAACAGCGAAAAUCAGUUUUGGGUACUGCAGGUCGUUGGUUCGAAUCCAGCUGCCCCGACCA
RNAcentral lists this transfer RNA (87 nucleotides) under Bradyrhizobium sp. 6(2017). Its description in RNAcentral is "tRNA-OTHER". The record is from RNAcentral. Lineage: Bacteria; Pseudomonadati; Pseudomonadota; Alphaproteobacteria; Hyphomicrobiales; Nitrobacteraceae.